GGGCCGGUAGAUCAGCCCGGUAGAUCGCCUCCUUGGCAUGGAGGAGGUCGCGAGUUCGAAUCUCGCCCGGUCCACCA
RNAcentral lists this transfer RNA (77 nucleotides) under Candidatus Thorarchaeota archaeon SMTZ-45. RNAcentral describes it as "tRNA-Ala". It matches the Rfam family "tRNA". From Rfam's summary of the family: Transfer RNA (tRNA) molecules are approximately 80 nucleotides in length. Their secondary structure includes four short double-helical elements and three loops (D, anti-codon, and T loops). Further hydrogen bonds mediate the characteristic L-shaped molecular structure. tRNAs have two regions of fundamental functional importance: the anti-codon, which is responsible for specific mRNA codon recognition, and the 3' end, to which the tRNAs corresponding amino acid is attached (by aminoacyl-tRNA synthetases). tRNAs cope with the degeneracy of the genetic code in two manners: having more than one tRNA (with a specific anti-codon) for a particular amino acid; and 'wobble' base-pairing, i.e. permitting non-standard base-pairing at the 3rd anti-codon position. The record is from RNAcentral. RNAcentral also lists the same sequence under 4 other names. Lineage: Archaea; Promethearchaeati; Candidatus Thorarchaeota.